RNAcentral lists this ribosomal RNA (253 nucleotides) under uncultured bacterium. Its description in RNAcentral is "partial 16S ribosomal RNA". It matches the Rfam family "Bacterial small subunit ribosomal RNA", at positions 524 to 776 of the family's 1533-position model. The record is from RNAcentral.
UACAGAGGUCCCAAGCGUUGUUCGGAUUUACUGGGCGUAAAGGGUGCGUAGGUGGCGAGGUAAGUUCGAUGUGAAAUCUCCGAGCUCAACUCGGAAAUGGCAUUGAAUACUAUCCCGCUUGAGGGUCGGAGGGGAGACUGGAAUUCUCGGUGUAGAGGUGAAAUUCGUAGAUAUUCGCAAGAACACCAGUGGCGAAGGCGGCUCACUGGUCCGGUUCUGACGCUGAGGCGCGAAAGCGUGGGGAGCAAACAGG